UACGUAGGGGGCUAGCGUUGUCCGGAAUCAUUGGGCGUAAAGCGCGCGUAGGCGGCCCGGUAAGUCCGCUGUGAAAGUCAAUGGCUCAACCUUUGAAUGUCAGCGGAUACUGCCGGGCUAGAGUCCGGAAGAGGCGAGUGGAACUCCUGGUGUAGCGGUGGAAUGCGCAGAUAUCAGGAAGAACACCAACAGCGAAGGCAGCUCGCUGGGACGGAACUGACGCUAAGGCGCGAAAGCGUGGGGAGCGAACAGG
This 253-nucleotide ribosomal RNA is filed under the name uncultured bacterium. Its description in RNAcentral is "partial 16S ribosomal RNA". It matches the Rfam family "Bacterial small subunit ribosomal RNA", at positions 524 to 776 of the family's 1533-position model. The record is from RNAcentral.